This 87-nucleotide small RNA is filed under the name Treponema sp. JC4. RNAcentral's name for it is "TD-2 RNA". It matches the Rfam family "TD-2 RNA". From Rfam's summary of the family: non coding RNA found in Treponema denticola The record is from Rfam by way of RNAcentral. Lineage: Bacteria; Pseudomonadati; Spirochaetota; Spirochaetia; Treponematales; Treponemataceae.
UCGUACAGGAUGUGCGAAAUUGCAGAGUUUGCUUUUUAGCAAACUCUGAGUGAACAAAAAUACAUGGAUGUAUUUUUGUUCACCCCC